CUCAUGGAUGGGCCUGCGGUGUAUUAGCUAGUAGGUGAGGUAACGGCUCACCUAGGCGACGAUACAUAGCCGACCUGAGAGGGUGAUCGGCCACACUGGGACUGAGACACGGCCCAGACUCCUACGGGAGGCAGAAGUAGGGAAUCUUCGGCAAUGGGGGCAACCCUGACCGAGCAACGCCGCGUGAGUGAAGAAGGUUUUCGGAUCGUAAAGCUCUGUUGUAAGUCAAGAACGAGUGUGAGAGUGGAA
This 249-nucleotide ribosomal RNA is filed under the name uncultured Streptococcus sp. Its description in RNAcentral is "partial 16S ribosomal RNA". It matches the Rfam family "Bacterial small subunit ribosomal RNA", at positions 218 to 466 of the family's 1533-position model. The record is from RNAcentral. Lineage: Bacteria; Bacillati; Bacillota; Bacilli; Lactobacillales; Streptococcaceae.